CGCCGAUGACAAGCUGGGGCUCUAUUGAAGGUCGCCAUGGAGUUCUCAAUAAAAGCACAACAAGGUUAAGGUGGUGAUUGUUCGUGUUAACCGUUGUUGUUAGAUUUUCAUCAUGGCUUUAUUUCCGAGUUUGCAUGUAGAUGAAGCUGCGGCAUGUGCACACUUAUAGAUGUGGUCAUGUGUACACAUUGCAAAGCUUGUUAGUCAUGUUAAGAGGUGUCAUCUUGGUGUUGUGCAUGUAUGGCACCAAGUAUGCGUGUGAGUCUUCAUCCAAGAGUUAGUUAGUUGCAAGCCUGGAUAGUAGGAGGAGUGAAUCACACGUACAUGCAUGGAUAGAGUUUGUUGGUAGAUUGGCUUAGAAGUGAUCCUAGUAAUCAGUCCUUAUCUCCAAGAUGUGGGAAGAUCGGCCGAGUCGUGUGGCCAAUUCAUGGGAUUACUAGUGGUCAUUUGUACCAUCUAGUGGAGCUAGUCGUGGUGUGACUGGCUUGGGUAUGUGCACUACUAAUAGGUUGUAUAACAACUUCAUUUGCGUUGAGUGAGAAUGCAAGAGAAAAGGGCACAAGUUGUGUGCGGUGCCAAGACUCUGGGUGUUCUUCUAUCUAUGUGUGCGUGAGUUCAUCUUCAACCUUGGGCAGAGAUUUCACUUUGAUGUUCAUUAUGUGCAAGUUGGACGAUGCCGCCGAUUGCAUCAAUACAAGUUUGAACGGCUAUAUUUGGUUCCAGGUAUGCCUGGUGUAGUUAACACAUGAAAUUUAUUUUAGUUUUACACAUUUAUCCGGUGUGAUGUUUAAGCAUGACCUACGUUCUAUUCAUUUUCAACAAUACCAGUUUGAAAUGCAAUAUUUAAUGGUUGUUAAGCCUGUUGUAGGUUACAUUCCCUUCCAUUUUAUAUCUGCUUUAACAGCAUCCUGAAACCAACACAUUCAAGCUAUCAUUUGGAGAUGAUGUUGUUUACCUUUGCUAUAUUUGUUUGAUGUUAAGGUUCUUGUACUUAUCAUGCCUUUCCACUACUUAUGCAGGACAACAAUGGGAGUGGCCACCAUUUUCCACCGAGGUUAGUUUCAUCCCUUGGCUUGUACUCCCCCCGUCAAUCCAUAAUGUAGUGCAUAUAGAUCCAGGUCUGGACUCUUGUUAGCUUCUAAUAUUGACUUGAUGCUUGUAGGUACAUAUGCCCUUGGCAAGGCUCCACGCCUCGAUCCUUUUUGCGUAUGGGGCAAUGAGAUAUUCAUGAACAAGCAUCAAGUGACGAAACUUAUAAGGAUAUUAUUAGCCAAAAGAUACGAACGGUGGCAAGCAAAUUAUUUGUUUACGCUCUAUCCAACACAACAGUGAGCUGUAGGAUGGUAACUACAAACUCUGCAGCCUUCUCUUUUUACUGCCCAUCAUGAGUUGUUAGACAACAAUGUCUGAAUCUUCUUCGUUCGCAGUGGUUCCCGAAGCAUUUUACUCAAGAUUACCUCGCAAUGUACAUGAUUGGUGGACACGCAAUGAAGGUCAAAUUAUUUCAUCCGGACUACAAUGAGCAUCGAGAAGUCCCAAUGAAGAUAUUGAAGGAUGGACUGGCAACCAUCACAAGGGGUUGGCCUAGAGUUGUGUGCGCAUUACGCAUGGAGGAGGGAACAAUAUGGGCUUUCCGCUUAACCUUCUCUAGCAACCAGAAUGUCUUUGGCCUCUCUCUUUACAGUCUUUAGUACAACUGUAGCUCAUCAUUCUUUACUUGGUGCUUCUGUAGUUUGUCAGUAUAUGUAUGUGUGCAUUGAAUUACGCAUUCGUGCUUGAACCUAUAUUUGUAAUAAACAUGAUUCAAUAUUAAAUAAGUGAUUGCCUACUUUCAAAUUCAAAA
RNAcentral lists this long non-coding RNA (1843 nucleotides) under Triticum aestivum (bread wheat). Its description in RNAcentral is "long non-coding RNA (TAES_LNC027288)". The record is from RNAcentral. Lineage: Eukaryota; Viridiplantae; Streptophyta; Magnoliopsida; Poales; Poaceae.